GAUGAACGCUGGCGGCGUGCCUAAUACAUGCAAGUCGAGCGAACGGACAAGAAGCUUGCUUCUCUGAUGUUAGCGGCGGACGGGUGAGUAACACGUGGAUAACCUACCUAUAAGACUGGGAUAACUUCGGGAAACCGGAGCUAAUACCGGAUGAUAUUUUGAACCGCAUGGUUCAAAAGUGAAAGACGGUCUUUCUGUCACUUAUAGAUGGUUCCGCGCUGCAUUAGCUAGUUGGUAAGGUAACGGCUUACCAAGGCAACGAUGCAUAGCCGACCUGAGAGGGUGAUCGGCCACACUGGAACUGAGACACGGUCCAGACACCUACGGGAGGCAGCAGUAGGGAAUCUUCCGCAAUGGGCGAAAGCCUGACGGAGCAACGCCGCGUGAGUGAUGAAGGUCUUCGGAUCGUAAAACUCUGUUAUUAGGGAAGAACAUAUGUGUAAGUAACUGUGCACAUCUUGACGGUACCUAAUCAGAAAGCCACGGCUAACUACGUG
RNAcentral lists this ribosomal RNA (497 nucleotides) under uncultured bacterium. RNAcentral describes it as "partial 16S ribosomal RNA". It matches the Rfam family "Bacterial small subunit ribosomal RNA", at positions 28 to 507 of the family's 1533-position model. The record is from RNAcentral.